GACGAACGCUGGCGGCGUGCUUAACACAUGCAAGUCGAACGGAAAGGCCCUGCUUUUGUGGGGUGCUCGAGUGGCGAACGGGUGAGUAACACGUGAGUAACCUGCCCUUGACUUUGGGAUAACUUCAGGAAACUGGGGCUAAUACAGGAUAGGAGCUCCUGCUGCAUGGUGGGGGUUGGAAAGUUUCGGCGGUUGGGGAUGGACUCGCGGCUUAUCAGCUUGUUGGUGGGGUAGUGGCUUACCAAGGCUUUGACGGGUAGCCGGCCUGAGAGGGUGACCGGCCACAUUGGGACUGAGAUACGGCCCAGAGUCCUACGGGGGGCAGCAGUGGGGAAUAUUGCACAAUGGGCGGAAGCCUGAUGCAGCAACGCCGCGUGCGGGAUGACGGCCUUCGGGUUGUAAACCGCUUUCGCCUGUGACGAAGCGUGAGUGACGGUAAUGGGUAAAGAAGCACCGGCUAACUACGUG
Molecule: ribosomal RNA, 468 nt
Filed under: uncultured bacterium
Lineage: Bacteria
Description: partial 16S ribosomal RNA
Rfam family: Bacterial small subunit ribosomal RNA
Source: RNAcentral